This 2450-nucleotide long non-coding RNA is filed under the name Capsicum annuum. RNAcentral's name for it is "long non-coding RNA (CANN_LNC001090)". Lineage: Eukaryota; Viridiplantae; Streptophyta; Magnoliopsida; Solanales; Solanaceae. The record is from RNAcentral.
GGGAUUACAUUACAAAUCUAAUACGUUGGGUUAGAACUUGUUUGCAGGAUAUUCCACCAUGCCCAACAAAGAGAAGCAGAACAAAUUUAAUAUCAAAUGAGAAAUUUUCUUGAAACUUACUGUUGCUCUAGUUAUGCCGGGAAAGCAAUAAUCAGCAUGAGGGACUAUGUAGAUAACUGCUGCAGCAAUAGAAAUGAGACUUCUCCUGCAAGUUUUAUAUAGAGGAGUAAAUAGAUUUGAUCCAUCCUGUUGGAAAGAGCUAUGUGACAAAAACAACGCCUCAAUCUCAAGCUAGUUGAGGUCGGCUUAUAUGAAUCUUUAUUAAGAAUGAGAUCUAGGAAUCAGUAUUCAGGUUAAAUAAUCACUCUGUAAAACCAGACUUCUAAAAUCUUUAUACAAGUUACACUAGGAAUUCCUUUACUUGAUACUUCAAGAUCCAAUGUCAUGCUUCAUGCAACAAUCUAUCGCAACAAGAAGUCUGUGAAUUAAUAUCUUAGCAACAAGGCAGUUAGCAACCAGUUGUUUCUCUCUUGACCCUUUAGAUGUCAACUCGGGAAAUUACAUGAUACAAUGUGACAAAGAUCUAUCUAAUAGGGAAGGAAAGAAAACCAAGCGAAAAGGAAGAGAAAAUAGAAAAAAAAAAAGAAAACGAGUUGUAGUCUAAGAAAGGGAGCCAUCCAAGUUAUUCAUGCAUCGACUUAAACCAUUCCCCUUGCUGGAAAGUUCAGCAUUACCAUUCGUGCUCAUCCAUCAGCUACAAUCCAAAUGCUAGUCACCCUCCACCUCCAACUUUGCAACUGUUGCCUUCUCCAUCCCGAACUACCUAUUUGUCACACCUCACCCCUACACAUACUUUUUUUCCCCUUCAGCCUGCAGAGUAUCAAUCCCUUCCAGCUCACAUCUUCCCCAGCACUUCACCGAUCUCUUCUCAAUUUCAAACCAGCAUCUCAUUAGCACCUCCCUCCUUUUGUCUUCUUCCACCCUACCUUCCAAAAUAAGUAGGUUCAUUUCCAAACAAUCUAACAAAAACUUACUGAUAUUUUCCCCAGAAAUUUAGUCUUCCCAAAAAUGCAAUCAUCCUACAGGCAAGCUAACCACACAAGGUAUUAGAUAAAAUGAAGAUUAUGUUCAUCUUCUGAACAUGACAUGAGCUGAAAGAAUAAUUCAUAUAACUUGAUUGCUGCUGCUAAGGGUUAGGAUUCUGCUAUAUAGUUAUACUGUCUGUUGAUACGGAAAACUAAAACACAACUGUUGUCAUGUAUUUGCCUGUUUAUGGUUUUGUCUUCUCCUGUAAUAUAGCUAGUUUUAGCAUGUAGGCAACAAAAACUGAAAACCGCUAAUGAGUACAUAGUCAUACAAUCAAAGACUUUCCUCAUCGCCUACAGUUGAAAAUAUGAUCGGUACUAUUUGGAACAAAUGAGAUCAAUUUUAGUCAAACGUACAUUAAUCUGAGAUAAGCAUCUGCAGAUCAACAUAAAUACAAGAAAAACUACCUUAUGUCAAACUCUUCUGAUUUUUUUACUGCUUUUUGAGCGGCUUUAACUGUCUGAUUUGUCAUCCCAAGAUUUGAACAACAGCAAAGCAUGAUCAGUAACCAAGUUUUGGGAAACAAUAAAAGGUAUGAAGAAAAUUCAGUUUAGAAAAAUAGCAGUAAUCACCAUGAAAUCUCCGGCAUGUAAAGUUCCCAUUUCCACAGAUUGAAUACAACUAUUGAACAAUUCAAUACAACUAUUGAACUCGAAAUUACGCCAUUUUAGCUAUAUUUAAUCAAACCCCACACUAUAUCUUUCUCCAACAAUCCCAAAAAGCAAAACUAUCAGCUCAACCAAGAAUGCAAGCAACCACAAAAUACGCAAAAACCACAAGAAUUGAACUCGAAGUUACGCCAUUUUAGCUACAUUUAAUCAAACCCCACACUAUAUCUUUCUCCAAUAAUCUCAAAAAACAACACUAUCAGCUCAAUCAAGAAAGCCAACAACCACGAAAUACACAAAAACCAACAAUUGAACUCGAAGUUAUGCCAUUUUAGCUAUAUUUAAUCAAACCCCAUACAAUAUUUGUCCAAUAAUCCCAAAAAACAACACUAUCAGCAAUUUAAUCAAUUAAUCAAUAAUGGUAGCAAACACAAAAAGAACAACACUUGAACUCAAAAUUGAGCCAUUUUAGCAACAUUUAAUCAAACCCCAUGAAUUAUCUUCCAACAAAAUCCCAAAAAUGACACUAUUAGCUCAAACACGAGUGGUAGCAACCAUUGAAAAAAGUAAGAGGUUCUAAAAAUUUGAACAAUAAACUGCAAAUAGCUGAGCAUUGCUACAGAACAUUGAAAAUAUUGUUGCUAUCACAGUGUGCUAUCAGAAAAUAAAAUCAGAAUACACAUGCAAGAUGGAACCACUUACAAGAUGAGAUAAUUUGAACAUGAAAUCAGUAGCAAUUUGUGCUAACCCGUUUGG